GAGGGGUGCGCUUGGUCCGCGGCGGCUGUUGGCGAACGAUUGGCCCGCGAGCGCACUUUCGCUCUUCCGCCCGCGAUCUCCGCAAAGUGAAGUUGCUGACACACAGGAAACCCUCCCCGCCGCCUGGAGCCCGCUGCCUGCUCCGGAGCCGACCAGUCACAGGCCGGAGUCUCGAAGGCCCCCUAGCACCAAGCCAGGUGUUUGCAGACUGCAAACAGCCAGCAGUCCCGGCUGGGAACGCCCAGGCCAAGCGCGGCGCCUCGCUGUGCCGAGCACAUAGGGAUCCUGCCCUAUAGCUGGGAGAAAGAAUGCUGCACAGAGAGGAUGAGAAGAAUUUACACAGGACUUCACAAUUACCAUCCAGGGUCACUGUCAUGAUUGAAUGCAUAAGCCGCCAUAUGCAGGGCCCCAAAUGGUAGGUUCUUUUGUCAUUGUAUUCAUUCUAUCACUUGGAAAUUAUUUUAACAUGAAAUUUUAUUCAAUUGCUUUGAAAGCACUGAUAUGACUACAACGUACAGAGCAGCGGCUCCGCCUGCUUCCCUGAGGAAACUCUGCAAUCAGCUGUGUCCAUUUCCUGUAAAACAGUUUUGCAUUAAAAGCAGUUUAAGAUCACCUA
This 616-nucleotide long non-coding RNA is filed under the name Fukomys damarensis (Damara mole-rat). RNAcentral's name for it is "lncRNA (ENSFDAG00000023307.1)". Lineage: Eukaryota; Metazoa; Chordata; Mammalia; Rodentia; Bathyergidae. The record is from RNAcentral.